CUACGGGAGGCAGCAGUGGGGAAUUUUGCGCAAUGGGGGAAACCCUGACGCAGCAACGCCGCGUGAGUGAUGAAGGCCUUCGGGUCGUAAAGCUCUGUCAGAGGGAAAGAAGUGUAUGGUGGUUAAUACCCAUCUUACUUGACGGUACCCUCAAAGGAAGCACCGGCUAACUCCGUGCCAGCAGCCGCGGUAAUACGGAGGGUGCAAGCGUUGUUCGGAUUUAUUGGGCGUAAAGCGCGUGUAGGCGGCUCCUUAAGUCUGAUGUGAAAGCCCCGGGCUCAACCUGGGAAGUGCAUUGGAAACUGGGGAACUUGAAUACGGGAGAGGGUAGUGGAAUUCCUGGUGUAGGAGUGAAAUCCGUAGAUAUCAGGAGGAACACCGGUGGCGAAGGCGGCUGCCUGGACCGAUAUUGACGCUGAGACGCGAAAGCGUGGGGAGCAAACAGGAUUAGAUACCCCGGU
Molecule: ribosomal RNA, 461 nt
Filed under: uncultured bacterium
Lineage: Bacteria
Description: bacterial SSU rRNA
Rfam family: Bacterial small subunit ribosomal RNA
Source: RNAcentral